CAGAGUUUCGUACUCCAAACCCUUUGUGAACAUACCUGUUUUCGUUGCUUCGGCAGGUGAAGGCGGAUGGCCUCCGGGCCUCCCGCCGCCGCCGGGUCCGGGAAACCGGCCGGGUGGGCCUGCCGGAGGGCACAGACUCUUGUAUUAAACGUACCUCUCUGAGUUAUCUUUUACAAACAAGUAA
This 184-nucleotide unclassified non-coding RNA is filed under the name uncultured Ascomycota. RNAcentral describes it as "sequence contains ITS1". The record is from RNAcentral. Lineage: Eukaryota; Fungi; Ascomycota.